CUUGGUCAUUUAGAGGAAGUAAAAGUCGUAACAAGGUCUCCGUAGGUGAACCUGCGGAGGGAUCAUUACACAAAUAUGAAGGCGGGCUGGAACCUCUCGGGGUUACAGCCUUGCUGAAUUAUUCACCCUUGUCUUUUGCGUACUUCUUGUUUCCUUGGUGGGUUCGCCCACCACUAGGACAAACAUAAACCUUUUGUAAUUGCAAUCAGCGUCAGUAACAAAUUAAUAAUUACAACUUUCAACAACGGAUCUCUUGGUUCUGGCAUCGAUGAAGAACGCAGCGAAAUGCGAUAAGUAUUGUGAAUUGCAGAAUUCAGUGAAUCAUCGAAUCUUUGAACGCACAUUGCGCCCUUUGGUAUUCCAAAGGGCAUGCCUGUUCGAGCGUCAUUUGUACCCUCAAGCUUUGCUUGGUGUUGGGCGUCUUGUCUCUAGCUUUGCUGGAGACUCGCCUUAAAGUAAUUGGCAGCCGGCCUACUGGUUUCGGAGCGCAGCACAAGUCGCACUCUCUAUCAGCAAAGGUCUAGCAUCCAUUAAGCCUUUUUUUCAACUUUUGACCUCGGAUCAGGUAGGGAUACCCGCUGAACUUAAGCAUAUCAAUAAGCGGAG
RNAcentral lists this ribosomal RNA (606 nucleotides) under uncultured fungus. RNAcentral describes it as "eukaryotic LSU rRNA". The stretch from base 234 to 387 matches the Rfam family "5.8S ribosomal RNA". Lineage: Eukaryota; Fungi. The record is from RNAcentral.